This 723-nucleotide ribosomal RNA is filed under the name Triticum aestivum (bread wheat). RNAcentral describes it as "partial small subunit ribosomal RNA". The record is from RNAcentral. Lineage: Eukaryota; Viridiplantae; Streptophyta; Magnoliopsida; Poales; Poaceae.
AUGGCAACAUAUUUUCUGACUAUUUUUGCUGCAAGUGCCUGGGCGGAGAAGAGGCUAAACAAAAUAAGGAGAAAAUUUUUGUGGAACACAGAAGAGGAAGGAAAUGGGGGAAAAUGCCUAGUCAAUUGGAAAGUUGUGUGUGCACCCAAACAAAAUGGUGGACUGGGUAUCAAGGACAUUGGGUGUUUUGGGAAAUCGCUGAGGUUAAGAUGGUUGUGGAAUGCUUGGCAGGCGGAGGACAAACCUUGGAAAGGGACACUUGUUCCCUGUGACAUGGUCGAUAGACAAUUGUUUGCUGCUUGCACCACGAUUACCAUCGGUGAUGGUUCCAUAGCCCUUUUUUGGAAGGAUAAAUGGCUGCUGAAUCAGGCCCCAAAGGAGAUGGCCCCAAGGAUGUUUUCCCUAGCGCGACGGAAAAAUCUAACAGUAAAAGAGGCCCUUGCUGAAGGGAGAUGGAUGAAGGGGCUACAACGGGUUGUAUCUUCAGAGGACAUAGAUCAGUUCAUAAAUCUUUGGGAGAUGGUCCAAAAUGUGCAGCUAACGACUGAAAGAGACGGCAUCAAAUGGAACCUAACCAGUGACGGGAACUACACUGCAAAAUCGGCGUAUCAUGCUCAGUUCCUUGCACGGAUUCCUCAACCGAGUUUGGAGCUGGUUUGGUGUGCCAAGGCUGAACCGAAAGUAAAAUUUUACAUGUGGCUGCUCCUAAGGAAUCGUAACUAG